ACGAACGCUGGCGGCGUGCUUAACACAUGCAAGUCGAACGGAAAGGCCCUGCUUUUGUGGGGUGCUCGAGUGGCGAACGGGUGAGUAACACGUGAGUAACCUGCCCUCGACUUUGGGAUAACUUCAGGAAACUGGGGCUAAUACCGGAUAGGAGCUUCUGCUGCCUGGUGGGGGUUGGAAAGUUUCGGCGGUUGGGGAUGGACUCGCGGCUUAUCAGCUUGUUGGUGGGGUAGUGGCUUACCAAGGCUUUGACGGGUAGCCGGCCUGAGAGGGUGACCGGCCACAUUGGGACUGAGAUACGGCCCAGACUCCUACGGGAGGCAGCAGUGGGGAAUAUUGCACAAUGGGCGGAAGCCUGAUGCAGCAACGCCGCGUGCGGGAUGACGGCCUUCGGGUUGUAAACCGCUUUCGCCUGUGACGAAGCGUGAGUGACGGUAAUGGGUAAAGAAGCACCGGCUAACUACGUG
Molecule: ribosomal RNA, 467 nt
Filed under: uncultured bacterium
Lineage: Bacteria
Description: partial 16S ribosomal RNA
Rfam family: Bacterial small subunit ribosomal RNA
Source: RNAcentral